This 3353-nucleotide long non-coding RNA is filed under the name Canis lupus familiaris (dog). RNAcentral describes it as "lncRNA (ENSCAFG00845010529.1)". Lineage: Eukaryota; Metazoa; Chordata; Mammalia; Carnivora; Canidae. The record is from RNAcentral.
UUUUUUUUUUUUUUUUUUAAAUCUCUGCCUUACUCUUGCUCCCUCAGGUCAUUUUCUGGACAGACUACCUGUACUUAAGUUCUUAUCUGAUCCUUUUCUUUUGGGAGAACCCAAACUAGGACAGGUAUCUUUUGAGUACUUAUUAUUUAAAGAGUUGAUAACAUUUAAAGACUUAACUGUAUGAUCACCAAGGGUAUGAGUAUGGAGAAGAGGACCAAAAUCUGUGUUGUUGGUGACUAUAUGUGUUAAAUGGUUGGUAUGAAGAGGAACAACUAGAAAAGGAGACUGGGGCAUAAUUAGUGGUGUAAUAACAAAAUUAGGAGCCUGUAAUGUUUUGGAAACUAAGAAAAUGUGGAAAGAAGUAGGGGAAUGAUGCUUCUAAUGAAACAGUUCAAGUGAGAUGUGAACUUAGAAUUUAUCUAUUGAAUUUGGCAAUAUGUGAGCCAUUGAUGAACUAAGAAGAAUAGUUUCCAUUGAAGUGAUGGAGACAAAAGUGUGAUUGGAGUGUAUUUAAGAACAAUUGAUGAAAUAAUUGAAGACAGUGUAUAUAGACAAUUUGUUUGGAAUUUUAUUGUACAGGAAAGCAGAGAAAUAGAUUGGUAGCUGGAGAAAUUUCUUGAAAGAGAGAUUUCUUUUCUAAAGAUUUUAUUUAUUUAUUUGAGAGAAAGCACCAGUUGGGGGAGAGGGAGAAGGAGAAACAGACUCUCUCCUGAGCAGAGAGCUCAGUGUGAGGCUUGAUCCCAGGAUUCUGGGAUCAUGACCUGAGCUGAAGGCAGAUGCUUAACCCACUGAGCCACAUGGGCGCCCCAAGAGAGGUUUUCUUCAGAUAAAUACGCACAAGUGGAAUUGCUGGAUCAUAUAGCUGGAUUUCUUUUCAGGGAGGGACCUCCACAUUGUUUUACAUAGUGGCUGCACCAAUUUACAUUCUCUCUAAAAGUGCAGAAGGGUUCCUUUAUCUCCACAUCUUCAACAAUACUUGUUAUUUCUUGUCUUUUUGAUAAUAGCCAUUCUGAGUUGUGGGAUGUGAUAUCUUAUUAUUUUGAUUUGCAUUUCCCUGAUGAUUAGUGAUGUUGAGCAUCUUUUCAUCUCUCUGUUGGCUACUUGUUAUUUUUCUUUUAAGUGUAUAUUCAGAUUUUCUGCCCAUUUUUAAAUUGGAUUUUUUUUGGUCAUUAAAUUGUGUGAGUUCUUUAGAUAUUUUGAAUAAUAGUAUUUUCUCCCAUUCUGUAGGUUACCUUUUCCUUAUGUUGAUGGUUUCUUUUGCUGUGCCAGAGGCUUUUUAUUAUGACGUAGUACUACUUACUUAUUUUUGUUUUUGGUGUCAGAUUAAAAAUCAUUAACAAGACCUACCUGAAGAAGCUUACCCACCUGUAUUUUCUUCUAGGAAUUUUAUGGUUUUAGGUCUUAGGUUUGUUGUCUUUUUUUUUCUUCCUUUUUUAAAAAGAUUUUAUUUAUUUGAGAGAUAGCACAUACAAGCUGGAGAAGGGAGAGGGACAAGAGACUAUGCUGAGUGUGUAGCAUCAUGCAAUGCUCAAUCUCAUAACCUUGAGAUUAUAGCCUGAGUUGAAAUCAAGAGUUGGACCCUUUACCGACUGAGCACCCCAGGUGUGCCCCAGGUUCAAGCCUUUAAUCUAUUUUGAGUUAAUUUUUGUAUAUGGUGUAAGAACGUUGUCAAGUUUUAUUCUUUUGCCUGACUCUAGUUUUCCCCCUAUCAUUAAUUGAAGGGACUGCCCUUUACCUUACCCAUUGUGUUUGGGUAAAAAUAUUGACCGUAUUUUUUGAAAAAUGCAUUGGAAUUUCGAUAGAGAUUGCAUUGAAUUUUUAGAUUGCUCCGGGUAGUAUGGGCAUUUUACCUGUACUGAUUCUUGCAGCUCAUGAAUAUGAAAUAAUUUCUCAUUUAUUUGUAUCUUCAGUUUCUUUCAUUAAUAUCUUAGAGUUUUCAAUAUGUAGAUCUUUCAUCUCCUUCAUUAACUUUAUUCCUAGGUGUAUUGUUCUUUGAUACAAUUGUAAAUGGGAUUUUAAAAAAUUUUUUCUUUCCGAUAAUUUUUUUUAAAGAUUUUAUUUAUUUAUACAUGAGAGACAAAGAGAGAGAGAGGCAGAGACACAGGCAGAGGGAGAAGCAGGCUCCACGCAGGGAGCCUGAUGCGGGAAUCGAUCCCGGGACCCCAGGAUCACGCCCUGGGCUGCAGGGAGGCGCUCAACCACUGAGCCACCCAGGCGUCCCAACUUUCUGAUAAUUUUUUAUUAGUGAAUAAAAAUUAAACUGAUUUUUGUAUCCUGCAACUUUACCAAAUUCAGUUAUUAGUUUUAACAGUUUUUUUGAUGGAGUCUUUAGUAUUUUCUAUAUAUACUAUUAUGUCAUCUGUAAAUAGUGACAGUUUUACUUUUUCCUUUCCAGUUUGAAUGCCUUUAUUUAUUUUUCUUGCCUAUUUGCUUUGGUGGGGAGUUGAUAGCUUCACUGGUGAAUUCUAAGACGACUUAGUAACCUGUCCUUUUUUUAAAAGCAUCUGACAAAAAUUCAACAUCCAGUUAUAAUAAUUCUCAACAGAGUGGGUGUAGAAGAAACAUAUGUCAAUAUAGUAAAAGCCAUAUAUGACAGGCUUACAGUUAGCAUCCUACUCACUGGUGAAAACCUGAGAGCCUUUCUUCUAAGAUCAGGAACAACACAGGGAUGCCCCCUCUUGCCACUUUUAUUCACUAAAGUAGAUUUUAUAUUGUCAUUGCUAUUGGUUACAUGGACGUAUACAGUUUCCAAACUGUAGGGAUCUGUCCCUUUCUUUAUGUAAAUAAUCUGUAGGAAUGUAAGACAGAAAUUUAUACAAAUGUGGCACUCCUUAGUAACUUCAGUAUGUAUGCCUACAACUUUAUUCAACACUAACAUUUUUGUAAAACAUGUUUAGGCUAACAAUGGUUUGUUAUGAAAGUUGGAUUAGUAGUGCAAAUAUUGAAGAAACUCAGCUUUCUACUAGAUUAGAAUCCGGCCAGUAGGGUUCAGACAUCGAUGUUAGUCUUACAGCUCUAAGUAUGGAACUAUCUCUUUGUUGCUGUAUAUGUUAUAGGCAUAGCACAUUUUGUAUAUUCAGUUAUUGAUUUUUGUCCUUCAGGACCCAAUGCUCUUGUAUAGCAUUUAUAAUUUUUUUCAUUGUACAAAUUUCUUACCUUUUUAAAACAAUUUAUUCAUGAGAGAGACAGAAACACAGGCAGAGCAGCCCGAGUGGCGCAGCGGUUUAGCGCUGCCUUCAGCCCAGGGUGUGAUCCUGGAGACCCAGAAUCGAGUCCCACGUCGAGCUCCUUGCAUGGAGCCUGCUUCUCCCUCUGCCUGUGUCUCUGCCUCUCUCUGUGUCUCUCAUGAAUAA